This 4233-nucleotide long non-coding RNA is filed under the name Salvia miltiorrhiza (redroot sage). RNAcentral's name for it is "long non-coding RNA (SMIL_LNC006419)". The record is from RNAcentral. Lineage: Eukaryota; Viridiplantae; Streptophyta; Magnoliopsida; Lamiales; Lamiaceae.
UUUGUUAGGAUGAGCAUAUUGAUAUGGAUUGUUUGGUUGUUUUCUUGGAUGAUACAAAAAUGUGUUGAAACCCAUAUGUGUUUGAGGAUGACGAAUGUGCAAAUUGAUCAAUUUUGUUGAAAACCACUCAUAUAGUGAGGAUUGAGCCUUUAGAGCAAUAAUUUGAAUGCUCCUUAUUUGUUUUUGAUGAGUGUUAUGCAUGCUUGACUUCUUGAUAUUCGGUUUGCCAUGUUGCCAUAAUCAAAUUUUUUGGAAUUGGACUCAUUUGUGAAGGUGAUUUAGGCAUUAGGAAAAAAACCUCAUUGGCCUUAAAAAUUUUCUACCUUUUGCAUAUCCAUUAGUGAGGCAUUUUGAAGCAUUGACCCUUUUUAUUGUUAUAUAUGAUUGAAGCCUCGAAAAUUUUAGCCAUUAGCUUUCUUUUAGCCUUGCUUUGUCCCUUUCCAACAUGAUGCAAGUGGUUUUAUUUUGUGAUAUUACUUUGUUGGAAGAAUAAGGUUGAUUGAAAUUUAGUGCUUGGUUGGAAUGAUUGAGGAUUGAAAUUGAAAAAAAUGAGGUUCUGGGUUGUUUAAGAAUGAGGUGAUGUUAUGAUGUCAGUUCAAAAAAAAAAAAAAAGAGAGAAAAAAAAUCGUGAAAAGUACCAUCUGACAAAAAAAAAUGCCAAAAAAAAGAAAAAAAAGAAAAAAAAAAUAGAAAAAAAAAGAAGAGAAGGAGAAGAAAAUGUUGGAGUUUGAAUGCUUAUGUAUUGGGAAUAAGGGUUGAUUUGAUUGAGUUUGAUUUUGGGAUUCGAAUGUGGUGAACUACUUACAUUUUGUUGGUUUUAUUAGCCUUGUUUAUCCGCUUUNCACAUCAGGGUCAAGGGAAAAACAGUCUUAAUUCAAUAAUCCUGCGUCAGUGUUUAUUGGUUUUGAAUCGGGUUUCUCUAGAAAUUAAUGUUGUCGGCUCAUUAAACCUAUAGAGCGUCUCUUACGGUUGUCAGUCGAUUAGGGUAGUAAUUAGUGAAGCGUCUUCCUGAUUACCGAAUAAUUAAGGAGAAAUAAGAUCAUGUCAGAAGAAUCUUCGGUAGUUAUAACUAGUUUGCUUGCAUGAAUUAAAGUCAUAUUUGCAUCAAUGAUCAGAAUAAUUAAGCUAGGGCGGACUUAAUUGAUUGCUGGAAUUAUUUUAUUAAUUGUUUGAAUUUUCUAUUUAUUUAUUUAGGAUUAGAACCAUUUCAAUUAUUUUGGGUUUUAUUUAUUUAUUUUUAUAUUUAGUAUUUUCUCAUAAUUUCCCAUAAAUUUCGUUCGUUGAGUUACUUUGUAGGUUGAAUUUUAGGAGAAUUCUCUCCGAUCCCUUGGGAGACGAUUUUGCUUGCUGAUGUCUGCGCAGUGUGGGCAUACCGACUGACUGUCGGAUAUUUUUGGUGUAAAACGACGCACCAAAUUUUGGCGCCGUUGCCGGGGAUCGGUUUUUAAGUAGUAAUUUUCCUAUUUUUCGAUUUACUUUAUUUUAUUUUAUUUUUGUUUGAUGUUGAUCUAGAGCUGAAGCUGAAAUAUGUCUGAAGAUGGGGAUGAUGACAGUGAUGAUAUUCUGCCACCACCACCAUUGAUAAGAGAGUUGGACCGCCACAAGAGAAAUCAUCCGCUAUGCAUUGUGUUGCCCACGAUAAAUCAAAAUGCUGAAAUCAAGCCUGACUUCAUUCAAGUUCUUCCAAAAUUCAGCAACUCGCUUGGAGAGAGUGCACAUAAACAUCUUGCUGAAUUUGAUUUAGUUUGCAUUACUUUACGCCCUCAAGGUUUUUCUGAAGAUCAUUUAAGAUUACUAACUUUUCUCAUACAUUGCAGGGUAGAGCUCGAGAUUGGUUGCUUGAUCUAUCGCCUGGCUCAAUCAGAACUUGGAACGACUUAGAGGAGCAGUUCUUGCAUAAAUUCUUUCCAGAAUCAAAGGCUGCAAAUCUAAGAAUAGCUAUUAGUAGCAUCAAGCAAAGGCAACAAGAGUGUUUAUCUGAUUAUUGGGAGAGAUUUCAACAAUUGUGUCAUAGAUGUCCUAACCACGGAUUUUCUGAUUAUCAAUUGCUCAUUAAUUAUUUUUAUCGUGGUAUGUCUUCUUUUGACAUGAGGAUUGUUGAUGCUGCUUGUGGAGGAAGUUUGACCAACAAGACCUUGGAUGAAGCGAAACAAUUAAUUUUUGAUAUGGUCUCCAAUGGUCAACAAUAUGAGGAUGAGGAUGAUGAUAGGUACAGGCCGGUCAACAGAGCAGAAGAUGCAUGUGUGAAUGAGAAACUCGAUGCUCUAACUUCCUUAGUUAGAGGCUUUGUUGGAGCUCAAAUUCAGAAGGAUAAUCAUCCAAAUUUCAGCUGGAAUCAUUCGCCUGAAUUUUUCACCAGCGCACAGCCGCAGGCUGGGCGGUAUGCCCAUACCGACCGCCCAGAGCCCAGUAUGAGCGAUAUUCUUCAGAGUCUGGCACAGAGCAGCCAGAUUAUUAACAAUCUGGUGCAAAGUCAGCAAGCUUUCCAGCAAGAGACGCAAGCUGCGUUGGGUAGUAUGGGCGCACAGAUCACUCAACUCACUACUCAAGUGAACAAGUUGCAAGCCAAUCAUGGAAAACUUCCAUCUCACGAAGAAGUACAUCCUAGGGAGUAUGUUUAUGCUGUGAAUUUAAUGAGUGAGGAAGAUUUAUGUGAUCCAAAGCCUAAUGAAGAUGAAAAGGAGACAGAAGAGCAAAAAAGUGCUCAAAACGAUGAAGUUGUCGAAGAGGCACAACAAUAUGAAAAUAUCUCUUCUUCCGAGGUAAGUGUUGAAUCUAAAAUUUCUAAUUCUAAAGCACUAAUUCCUUUCCUUUUUCCUUUCAGGUUGGCCCAAAACAAGGAAAAAGAAUGUGGUAGGGAGAUUCUGGAAAUAUUCACGAUGAAUAAAGAACCACCAGAAUAUUAUGAUGAAAUUCAAGGGUGUAAAGUGCAGUCGAACUCCACCAAUGAAAUUCACACUCGAUAUCUGUCGCGCGGUAUGCCCAUACCGACUAGCACUGGACAGAUUGUGCCUUCAAUUGUGAAACUGCCAAAGCGGAAAUUGAAACCACCUGAUGAUUGAUCCAGUUUCAGGGAAGUUCUUUUUAGUUUUCUUUCGUUUUUAUUUUAUUUUAGUUUUUUUUUCUUAUCUUUUAUGUUUUCUUUGUUUUGUGUCUUUAUUCUUAGUUUUUCUCCACACAAUGAGGACAUUGUGUUGUCUAAGUGUGGGGGAGUUUUUAUGUCUUUUGUCUUGAGUCUGUGUGCUCGUUUUGUUUUGGUUUUUGUUCGGUGUUUGUGAGUCUGUCUAUGCCAACUUUCAUGCGAGCAUUUUUGAUUUGUUAGGAUGAGCAUAUUGAUAUGGAUUGUUUGGUUGUUUUCUUGGAUGAUAUGAAAAUGUGUUGAAACCCAUAUGUGUUUGAGGAUGACGAAUGUGCAAAUUGAUCAAUUUUGUUGAAAGCCACUUAUAUAGUGAGGAUUGAGCCUUUAGAGCAAUAAUUUGAAUGCUCAUUGUUUGUUCUUGAUGAGUGUUAUGCAUACUUGACUUCUUGAUAUUCGGUUUGCCAUGUUGUCAUAAUCAGAUUUUUUGGAAUUGGACUCAUUUGUGAAGGUGAUUUAGGCAUUAGGAAUAAACCUCAUUGGCCUUAAAAAUGUCCUACCUUGCAAUAUCCAUUAGUGAGCCAUUUUGAAGCCUUGAACCUUUUUAUUGUUAUAUAUGAUUGAAGCCUCGAAAAUUUUAGCCAUUAGCCUUCUUUUAACCUUGUUUUGUCCCUUUCCAACAUGAUGCAAGUAGUUUUGUUUUGUGAUAUUACUUUGUUGGGAGAAUAAGGUUGAUUGAAAUAAGAUGCAUUGGUUAGAAUGAUUGAGGAUUGAAAUUGACAAUAAGUGGUUGUUGGUUGUUUAAGAAUGAGGUGAUGUUAUGAUGUUAGUUUCAAAAAAAUAAAAUUAAAAAAAAGAGAAAAAAAGAGAGAAAGAAAUAAGAGAAUGUUGGAGUUUGAAUGCUUAUAUGUUGGGAAUAAGGGUUGAUUUGAUUGAGUUUGAUUUUGGGAUUCGAAUGUGGUGAACUACUUGCAUUUUGUUGGUUUUAUUAGCCUUAUUUAUCCACUUUUGUUUAUCCUACCUAUGCACCCUAGCCCCAUUACAACCUUGUGGAAAGACCUAUUGAUUCAUGGAUAAGUUUAGUUUUCGAAGUGAAGAUAUUGACAUAGUGGCAAACUUAUAAUGGAUAGAGUCGAGUUGCAUGUGUGUGAAUUUAC